CCUACGGGUGGCAGCAGUGAGGAAUAUUGGUCAAUGGACGAGAGUCUGAACCAGCCAAGUAGCGUGAAGGAUGACUGCCCUAUGGGUUGUAAACUUCUUUUAUAUGGGAAUAAAACGUUCCACGUGUGGGAUUUUGUAUGUACCAUAUGAAUAAGGAUCGGCUAACUCCGUGCCAGCAGCCGCGGUAAUACGGAGGAUCCGAGCGUUAUCCGGAUUUAUUGGGUUUAAAGGGAGCGUAGGUGGAUUGUUAAGUCAGUUGUGAAAGUUUGCGGCUCAACCGUAAAAUUGCAGUUGAAACUGGCAGUCUUGAGUACAGUAGAGGUGGGCGGAAUUCGUGGUGUAGCGGUGAAAUGCUUAGAUAUCACGAAGAACUCCGAUUGCGAAGGCAGUUCACUGGACUACAACUGACACUGAGGCUCGAAAGUGUGGGUAUCAAACAGGAUUAGAUACCCUAGUAGUC
Molecule: ribosomal RNA, 460 nt
Filed under: uncultured bacterium
Lineage: Bacteria
Description: partial 16S ribosomal RNA
Rfam family: Bacterial small subunit ribosomal RNA
Source: RNAcentral